GUCCACGCCGUAAACGUUGUGCGCUAGGUGUAGGAGGUAUCGACCCCUCCUGUGCCGCAGCUAACGCAUUAAGCGCACCGCCUGGGGAGUACGCCCGCAAGGGUGAAACUCAAAGGAAUUGACGGGGGCCCGCACAAGCGGUGGAGCAUGUGGUUUAAUUCGAGGCAACGCGAAGAACCUUACCCAGGCUUGACAUCCUCUGACAGCCCGUGAAAGCGGGUUUCCCCUUCGGGGGCAGGGAGACAGGUGUUGCAUGGCUGUCGU
RNAcentral lists this ribosomal RNA (264 nucleotides) under uncultured bacterium. Its description in RNAcentral is "partial 16S ribosomal RNA". It matches the Rfam family "Bacterial small subunit ribosomal RNA", at positions 793 to 1055 of the family's 1533-position model. The record is from RNAcentral.